AGUGAACGCUGGCGGUAGGCCUAACACAUGCAAGUCGAACGGCAGCACAGUAAGAGCUUGCUCUUACGGGUGGCGAGUGGCGGACGGGUGAGGAAUACAUCGUAAUCUACUUUUUCGUGGGGGAUAACGUAGGGAAACUUACGCUAAUACCGCAUACGACCUACGGGUGAAAGCAGGGGAUCUUCGGACCUUGCGCGAUUGAAUGAGCCGAUGUGGGAUUAGCUAGUUGGGGGGGUAAAGGCCCACCAAGGCGACGAUCCGUAGCUGGUCUGAGAGGAUGAUCAGCCACACUGGAACUGAGACACGGUCCAGACUCCUACGGGAGGCAGCAGUGGGGAAUAUUGGACAAUGGGCGCAAGCCUGAUCCAGCCAUACCGCGUGGGUGAAGAAGGCCUUCGGGUUGUAAAGCCCUUUUGUUGGGAAAGAAAAGCAGCAGGUUAAUACCCCGCUGUUCUGACGGUACCCAAAGAAUAAGCACCGGCUAACUUCGUG
Molecule: ribosomal RNA, 492 nt
Filed under: uncultured bacterium
Lineage: Bacteria
Description: partial 16S ribosomal RNA
Rfam family: Bacterial small subunit ribosomal RNA
Source: RNAcentral